GGACGAACGCUGGCGGCGUGCUUAACACAUGCAAGUCGAGCGGAAAGGCCACUUCGGUGGUACUCGAGCGGCGAACGGGUGAGUAUCAUAGAGUAAUCUGCCCUUGGCUUUGGGAUAGCCACCGGAAACGGUGAUUAAUACCGGAUAGACCGCUCCACGCAUGUGGUGGUGGUGGAAAGUUUUUCGGCCAGGGAUGUGCUCGCGGCCUAUCAGCUUGAUGGUGAGGUAAUGGCUCACCAUGGCUUCGACGGGUAGCCGGCCUGAGAGGGUGACCGGUCAUCUGGGACUGAGACCCGGCCCCAGUCUUCUUUUAA
RNAcentral lists this ribosomal RNA (314 nucleotides) under uncultured Nocardioides sp. RNAcentral's name for it is "bacterial SSU rRNA". It matches the Rfam family "Bacterial small subunit ribosomal RNA", at positions 27 to 345 of the family's 1533-position model. Lineage: Bacteria; Bacillati; Actinomycetota; Actinomycetes; Propionibacteriales; Nocardioidaceae. The record is from RNAcentral.